UACGUAGGGGGCUAGCGUUGUCCGGAAUCACUGGGCGUAAAGGGCGCGUAGGUGGUUUGAUAAGGGUGUGGUGAAAGUCCGGAGCUCAACUCCGGAUCUGCCGUGCCGACUGUCAAACUCGAGGGCUGUAGAGGCAGACGGAAUUCCGGGUGUAGCGGUGGAAUGCGUAGAGAUCCGGAGGAAGACCGGUGGCGAAGGCGGUCUGCUGGGCAGUUUCUGACACUGAGGCGCGACAGCGUGGGGAGCAAACAGG
Molecule: ribosomal RNA, 253 nt
Filed under: uncultured bacterium
Lineage: Bacteria
Description: partial 16S ribosomal RNA
Rfam family: Bacterial small subunit ribosomal RNA
Source: RNAcentral